RNAcentral lists this ribosomal RNA (467 nucleotides) under uncultured bacterium. RNAcentral describes it as "partial 16S ribosomal RNA". It matches the Rfam family "Bacterial small subunit ribosomal RNA", at positions 28 to 507 of the family's 1533-position model. The record is from RNAcentral.
GACGAACGCUGGCGGCGUGCUUAACACAUGCAAGUCGAACGGAAAGGCCCUGCUUUUGUGGGGUGCUCGAGUGGCGAACGGGUGAGUAUCACGUGAGUAACCUGCCCUUGACUUUGGGAUAACUUCAGGAAACUGGGGCUAAUACCGGAUAGGAGCUCCUGCUGCAUGGUGGGGGUUGGAAAGUUUCGGCGGUUGGGGAUGGACUCGCGGCUUAUCAGCUUGUUGGUGGGUAGUGGCUUACCAAGGCUUUGACGGGUAGCCGGCCUGAGAGGGUGACCGGCCACAUUGGGACUGAGAUACGGCCCAGACUCCUACGGGAGGCAGCAGUGGGGAAUAUUGCACAAUGGGCGGAAGCCUGAUGCAGCAACGCCGCGUGCGGGAUGACGGCCUUCGGGUUGUAAACCGCUUUCGCCUGUGACGAAGCGUGAGUGACGGUAAUGGGUAAAGAAGCACCGGCUAACUACGUG